UACGAGGGGGGCGAGCGUUGUUCGGAAUUAUUGGGCGUAAAGGGCGCGUAGGCGGCGCGGUAUGUCACCUGUGAAAUCUCCUGGCUCAACUGGGAGCUUGCAGGCGAAACUGCCGUGCUGGAGUGUGGGAGAGGUGCGUGGAAUUCCCGGUGUAGCGGUGAAAUGCGUAGAUCUUGGAAAGACCACCAAUGGCGAAGGCACUCUACUGGGCCAUAACUGACACUAAGAGACGAAAGCUAGGGGAGCAAAUGGG
This 253-nucleotide ribosomal RNA is filed under the name uncultured bacterium. RNAcentral describes it as "partial 16S ribosomal RNA". It matches the Rfam family "Bacterial small subunit ribosomal RNA", at positions 524 to 776 of the family's 1533-position model. The record is from RNAcentral.